RNAcentral lists this ribosomal RNA (285 nucleotides) under uncultured microorganism. Its description in RNAcentral is "partial 16S ribosomal RNA". It matches the Rfam family "Bacterial small subunit ribosomal RNA", at positions 346 to 617 of the family's 1533-position model. The record is from RNAcentral.
GCGCAGCAGGCGCGAAUCUUCCACAAUGGACGAAAAGGUCUGAUGGAGCGACGCCGCGUGCGGGAUGAAAGGCCUUAUGGGUUGUAAACCGCUGUCAGGGGGGAAGAACAUCGGAAUGAACAAUACUCAUUCCGACUGACGUUACCCCCAGAGGAAGCUCCGGCCAACUCCGUGCCAGCAGCCGCGGUAAUACGGGGGGAGCAAGCGUUGUCCGGAAUUAUUGGGCGUAAAGGGCGUGUAGGCGGCGAGGUAAGUCGGAAUGUGAAAUCUCACGGCUCAACCGUG